AUCUACGGCCAUAGAAGCGAGAAAACGCCGAACCCCGUCCGCUCUUCGAUGCUUUAAGCUCGCUAUCGCCCGGUUAGUACCAUCGUGGGGGGCCAGAUGGGAAUCCCGGGUGCUGUAGUUG
Molecule: ribosomal RNA, 121 nt
Organism: Kwoniella heveanensis BCC8398
Lineage: Eukaryota; Fungi; Basidiomycota; Tremellomycetes; Tremellales; Cryptococcaceae
Source: Rfam